This is a long non-coding RNA of Mastomys coucha (southern multimammate mouse), 489 nucleotides long. RefSeq lists it as uncharacterized. NCBI's taxonomy places the organism in Eukaryota, Metazoa, Chordata, Mammalia, Rodentia, Muridae. The transcript is spliced from 5 exons. The record is from RefSeq and is a predicted model, not a curated record.
UGCAAGGCCCUAUGGGACACUGGAUUAUUGUGCCGACUCUCCAGACUCUCUCCCGUUCUAUGGAAGAUCUGUUACUGUGCUCUCCCCUGGUGACACAGCAGGACUUCUCAGUGCCUGACAGCAGCAAGGGCCCCACCCUCCCCUCAUCUGCAUCAUCAGAAAUACCACCAGACCCAGGUUGCCUUCAGAAGGAACCAGGCUGGCUGAUGGCGCUGCAGACCUGAAGUAACAUUCACUUCUACCCUGACAAUUUCUGCAGGGGAUGCUUUUCACGAUCGUCAAAUAUCUAAGGAAAGUCAACAACUGAUGGAGAAAUAAAGAAAACAUGAUACAUAUGAACGAUAAUUGAUGAAGUUAUAUAUUCCUUCGGUGAAAGAUAUAGAACAACCAGUCUGCAACUUAACUGGAAGCUUCUUCUUCCUGCUGGCUCGUUUUCAUGGUGUCAAAAAGUAUUGUGUGGGUGACUGUGAAUAAACAGUAUCAACAGCA